CACAUAGAUUAUCUAUGAUAGAUAUACGCUAUAUCUAAUUGUAUAGCAAAAGCUAUGAACCUAAAAAAGUUAAAAUAACCUAUAAUUUAUGUGGAGGGAGUACAGUAGAAAACAAGCUCUAAAGACUAUCUUUAGAGUUUAGAUGACAAAUUAACUAGUGCUCAAUUCAAACUACCAACUAUUCUCCCUAGUUACGAAGAACUUAAUCUUCUAUGCAUCCUUUGAUUGUCAUUUUUUAAAAAAAAAUCAUAUCUAUAAACGCAACAAAAUGACAUGAUGUUUAAUUUAUGCUAAAUCCUUUGCCACCUGUGUAAUGGAUCGUUUUCGGGAACGCCAAAAACAAAAACAAGAUUCUUAUAAAAUGAACAUGGGCCGAAACUGACAAAUGAAGCAAACAAAAGGAACCUUUGGUCCACCAACACAAAAUAUAUAAAAGGAUAAAAGAAACAACGAUAUUCAAGACGACAUCC
RNAcentral lists this long non-coding RNA (470 nucleotides) under Setaria viridis. RNAcentral describes it as "long non-coding RNA (SVIR_LNC001900)". The record is from RNAcentral. Lineage: Eukaryota; Viridiplantae; Streptophyta; Magnoliopsida; Poales; Poaceae.